UACAGAGGGGGCAAGCGUUGUUCGGAAUUACUGGGCGUAAAGGGCGCGUAGGCGGCCUGUUAAGUCGAACGUGAAAUCCCCGGGCUCAACCCGGGAACUGCGUCCGAUACUGGCAGGCUUGAAUCCGGGAGAGGGAUGCGGAAUUCCCGGUGUAGCGGUGAAAUGCGCAGAUAUCGGGAAGAACACCCGUGGCGAAGGCGGCUCUCUGGAACGCAACUGACGCUGAGACGCGAAAGCGUGGGGAGCAAACAGG
Molecule: ribosomal RNA, 253 nt
Filed under: uncultured bacterium
Lineage: Bacteria
Description: partial 16S ribosomal RNA
Rfam family: Bacterial small subunit ribosomal RNA
Source: RNAcentral